GAACGGCUGGCGGCGUGCCUAAUACAUGCAAGUCGUACGAGGGAAGUCCAGCUGCUGGACGGAACGAGUGGCGAACGGGUGAGUAAUACGUAAGCAACCUGCCUGCAAGGACUGGGAUAACACCUGGAAACGGGCGCUAAUACCGGAUAGGUAACAAAGGGGCAUCCCUAUGUUAUUAAAGGUUAGAAACACAAGCAGAUGGGCUUACGGUGCAUUAGCUAGUUGGUGAGGUAACGGCCUACCAAGGCGAUGAUGCAUAGCCGGCCUGAGAGGGUGAACGGCCACAUUGGGACUGAGACACGGCCCAGACUCCUACGGGAGGCAGCAGUAGGGAAUUUUCGGCAAUGGACGAAAGUCUGACCGAGCAACGCCGCCGUGAGUGAAGAAGGUUUUCGGAUUGUAAAGCUCUGUUGUAAGGGAAGAACAGCACGGAAAGAAUCCGUGAAUGACGGUACCUUACCAGAAAGCCACGGCUAACUACGUGCCAGCCGCUGC
Molecule: ribosomal RNA, 495 nt
Filed under: uncultured bacterium
Lineage: Bacteria
Description: bacterial SSU rRNA
Rfam family: Bacterial small subunit ribosomal RNA
Source: RNAcentral